AGUGAACGCUGGCGGUAGGCCUAACACAUGCAAGUCGAACGGCAGCACAGUAAGAGCUUGCUCUUACGGGUGGCGAGUGGCGGACGGGUGAGGAAUACAUCGGAAUCUACUUUUUCGUGGGGGAUAACGUAGGGAAACUUACGCUAAUACCGCAUACGACCUACGGGUGAAAGCAGGGGAGCUUCGGACCUUGCGCGAUUGAAUGAGCCGAUGUCGGAUUAGCUAGGUGGCGGGGUAAAGGCCCACCAAGGCGAGGAUCCGUAGCUGGUCUGAGAGGAUGAUCAGCCACACUGGAACUGAGACACGGUCCAGAAUCCUACGGGAGGCAGCAGUGGGGAAUAUUGGAGAAUGGGCGGAAGCCUGAUCCAGCCAUACCGCGUGGGUGAAUAAGGCCUUCGGGUUGUAAAGCCCUUUUGUUUGGAAAGAAAAGCAGCAGGUUAAUACCCCGCUGUUCUGACGGUACCCAAAGAAUAAGGACCGGCUAACUUCGUU
This 492-nucleotide ribosomal RNA is filed under the name uncultured bacterium. Its description in RNAcentral is "partial 16S ribosomal RNA". It matches the Rfam family "Bacterial small subunit ribosomal RNA", at positions 29 to 507 of the family's 1533-position model. The record is from RNAcentral.